CGUACACACGUGCUACAAUGGGUGGGUACAAAGAGAUGCAAUCUCGCAAGAGCAAGCAAACCUCAAAAAGCCAUCCUCAGUUCGGAUUGGAGUCUGCAACUCGACUCCAUGAAGUCGGAAUCGCUAGUAAUCGCGGAUCAGCACGCCGCGGUGAAUACGUUCCCGGGCCUU
Molecule: ribosomal RNA, 171 nt
Filed under: uncultured Syntrophus sp.
Lineage: Bacteria; Pseudomonadati; Thermodesulfobacteriota; Syntrophia; Syntrophales; Syntrophaceae
Description: partial 16S ribosomal RNA
Rfam family: Bacterial small subunit ribosomal RNA
Source: RNAcentral